Molecule: ribosomal RNA, 1372 nt
Filed under: uncultured bacterium
Lineage: Bacteria
Description: bacterial SSU rRNA
Rfam family: Bacterial small subunit ribosomal RNA
Source: RNAcentral
GAUGAACGCUGGCGGCGUGCCUAAUACAUGCAAGUCGAGCGAACGGACGAGAAGCUUGCUUCUCUGAUGUUAGCGGCGGACGGGUGAGUAACACGUGGAUAACCUACCUAUAAGACUGGGAUAACUUCGGGAAACCGGAGCUAAUACCGGAUAAUAUUUUGAACCGCAUGGUUCAAAAGUGAAAGACGGUCUUGCUGUCACUUACAGAUGGAUCCGCGCUGCAUUAGCUAGUUGGUAAGGUAACGGCUUACCAAGGCAACGAUGCAUAGCCGACCUGAGAGGGUGAUCGGCCACACUGGAACUGAGACACGGUCCAGACUCCUACGGGAGGCAGCAGUAGGGAGUCUUCCGCAAUGGGCGAAAGCCUGACGGAGCAACGCCGCGUGAGUGAUGAAGGUCUUCGGAUCGUAAAACUCUGUUAUUAGGGAAGAACAUAUGUGUAAGUAACUGUGCACAUCUUGACGGUACCUAAUCAGAAAGCCACGGCUAACUACGUGCCAGCAGCCGCGGUAAUACGUAGGUGGCAAGCGUUAUCCGGAAUUAUUGGGCGUAAAGCGCGCGUAGGCGGUUUUUUAAGUCUGAUGUGAAAGCCCACGGCUCAACCGUGGAGGGUCAUUGGAAACUGGAAAACUUGAGUGCAGAAGAGGAAAGUGGAAUUCCAUGUGUAGCGGUGAAAUGCGCAGAGAUAUGGAGGAACACCAGUGGCGAAGGCGACUUUCUGGUCUGUAACUGACGCUGAUGUGCGAAAGCGUGGGGAUCAAACAGGAUUAGAUACCCUGGUAGUCCACGCCGCAAACGAUGAGUGCUAAGUGUUAGGGGGUUUCCGCCCCUUAGUGCUGCAGCUAACGCAUUAAGCACUCCGCCUGGGGAGUACGACCGCAAGGUUGAAACUCAAAGGAAUUGACGGGGACCCGCACAAGCGGUGGAGCAUGUGGUUUAAUUCGAAGCAACGCGAAGAACCUUACCAAAUCUUGACAUCCUUUGACAACUCUAGAGAUAGAGCCUUCCCCUUCGGGGGACAAAGUGACAGGUGGUGCAUGGUUGUCGUCAGCUCGUGUCGUGAGAUGUUGGGUUAAGUCCCGCAACGAGCGCAACCCUUAAGCUUAGUUGCCAUCAUUAAGUUGGGCACUCUAAGUUGACUGCCGGUGACAAACCGGAGGAAGGUGGGGAUGACGUCAAAUCAUCAUGCCCCUUAUGAUUUGGGCUACACACGUGCUACAAUGGACAAUACAAAGGGCAGCGAAACCGCGAGGUCAAGCAAAUCCCAUAAAGUUGUUCUCAGUUCGGAUUGUAGUCUGCAACUCGACUACAUGAAGCUGGAAUCGCUAGUAAUCGUAGAUCAGCAUGCUACGGUGAAUACGUUCCCGGGUCU